Molecule: ribosomal RNA, 479 nt
Filed under: uncultured bacterium
Lineage: Bacteria
Description: partial 16S ribosomal RNA
Rfam family: Bacterial small subunit ribosomal RNA
Source: RNAcentral
GAUGAACGCUAGCGGGAGGCCUAACACAUGCCAGCCGAGCGGUAGAGUUUCUUCGGAAACUUGAGAGCGGCGCACGGGUGCGUAACACGUGUGCAACCUACCUUUAUCUGGGGGAUAGCCUUUCGAAAGGAAGAUUAAUACCCCAUAAUAUAAUGAUUGGCAUCAAUUAUUAUUGAAAACUCCGGUGGAUAGAGAUGGGCACGCGCAAGAUUAGAUAGUUGGUGAGGUAACGGCUCACCAAGUCAAUGAUCUUUAGGGGUCCUGAGAGGGAGAUCCCCCACACUGGUACUGAGACACGGACCAGACUCCUACGGGAGGCAGCAGUGAGGAAUAGUGGACAAUGGGUGAGAGCCUGAUCCAGCCAUCCCGCGUGAAGGAUGACGGUCCUAUGGAUUGUAAACUUCUUUUGUACAGGGAUAAACCUACCCUCGUGAGGGUAGCUGAAGGUACUGUACGAAUAAGCACCGGCUAACUCCGUG